RNAcentral lists this long non-coding RNA (250 nucleotides) under Capsella rubella. RNAcentral describes it as "long non-coding RNA (CRUB_LNC002294)". Lineage: Eukaryota; Viridiplantae; Streptophyta; Magnoliopsida; Brassicales; Brassicaceae. The record is from RNAcentral.
UAAUUUGAAACUUACUUUUGCUAUUUAAAUUUCAUAUUCUUGUAUCAUACCCGUCAUUUGAUAUUUAAAUGUUAAAAUUGAAUUUAAAUUUCCAAAUUUUUUAUAUCUUCUUGUUUUUGAUGAGAAAUAGUUUAGGUACUUUUUUUUUUUGAAUUACCCGUUCCCUUUUUAUACCCGUUAAUUCCCUCUAAGAUAUGAUCGUAAUUUUUCUUUUAUAUCAAUGAAAUCAGUUACAUGUUUUUUUAAAAAA